GCCUUCGUGGUGUAACGGUAGCACGCUGGACUGGUAUUCCAGAAGUACGGGGUUCGAUUCCCGGUGAAGGCA
Molecule: transfer RNA, 72 nt
Filed under: Stegodyphus dumicola
Lineage: Eukaryota; Metazoa; Arthropoda; Arachnida; Araneae; Eresidae
Description: tRNA-Thr
Rfam family: tRNA
About the family: Transfer RNA (tRNA) molecules are approximately 80 nucleotides in length. Their secondary structure includes four short double-helical elements and three loops (D, anti-codon, and T loops).
Source: RNAcentral